GUCCACGCCGUAAACGAUGAUAACUAGCUGUCGGGGGCCAUGGGCUUUCGGUGGCGCAGCUAACGCAUUAAGUUAUCCGCCUGGGGGAGUACGGCCGCAAGGUUAAAACUCAAAGAAAUUGACGGGGGCCUGCACAAGCGGUGGAGCAUGUGGUUUAAUUCGAAGCAACGCGCAGAACCUUACCAGCGUUUGACAUCCUCAUCGCGGAUUUCAGAGAUGAUUUCCUUCAGUUCGGCUGGAUGAGUGACAGGUGCUGCAUGGCUGUCGU
Molecule: ribosomal RNA, 268 nt
Filed under: uncultured bacterium
Lineage: Bacteria
Description: partial 16S ribosomal RNA
Rfam family: Bacterial small subunit ribosomal RNA
Source: RNAcentral